Molecule: unclassified non-coding RNA, 366 nt
Filed under: uncultured bacterium
Lineage: Bacteria
Description: contains 16S-23S intergenic spacer region
Source: RNAcentral
UCCCGGUUGGCCCGGGCAGUCUCGUCUGAAAAAUACAACAGACGACAAGGGUUGCGCUCGUUGCGGGACUUAACCCAACAUCUCACGACACGAGCUGACGACGGCCAUGCAACACCUGUCAUCCCGUUCCCUUACGGGCACAGCCCGAUUUCUCGGGCCUUCGGGAGAUGUCAAGCCUCGGUAAGGUUCUACGCGUAGCUUCGUAUUAAACCACAUGCUCCACUGCUUGUGCGGCCCCCCGCCAAUUCCUUUGAGUUUUAAACUUGCGUUCGUACUCCCCAGGCGGGAUGCUUAACGCGUUAGCUUCUCAACGCAGAGGGUCGAUACUCUACAUUAAUAGCAUCCAUCGUUUACGGCGUGGACUAC